AGGUCAGCGGCAACUUACGCGCACCACCAGGUUUCAGUGACUAACCCGGGCUGGUAAAGCGGUGGUUAGGGGUUCGAGUCCCCUCGUCGGCUCCA
This 95-nucleotide transfer RNA is filed under the name Kribbella sandramycini. RNAcentral describes it as "tRNA-Tyr". Lineage: Bacteria; Bacillati; Actinomycetota; Actinomycetes; Propionibacteriales; Kribbellaceae. The record is from RNAcentral.